CAGGCUAUGCCCUUUUAGUUGGGGAUUUCAUUUACGCUGAACUGUUUGUCGU
Molecule: transfer RNA, 52 nt
Filed under: Schedorhinotermes sp. 9 MW-2019
Lineage: Eukaryota; Metazoa; Arthropoda; Insecta; Blattodea; Rhinotermitidae
Description: tRNA-Val
Source: RNAcentral